Molecule: ribosomal RNA, 465 nt
Filed under: Vreelandella stevensii
Lineage: Bacteria; Pseudomonadati; Pseudomonadota; Gammaproteobacteria; Oceanospirillales; Halomonadaceae
Description: partial 16S ribosomal RNA
Rfam family: Bacterial small subunit ribosomal RNA
Source: RNAcentral
CCUACGGGGGGCUGCAGUGGGGAAUAUUGGACAAUGGGGGGAACCCUGAUCCAGCCAUGCCGCGUGUGUGAAGAAGGCCCUCGGGUUGUAAAGCACUUUCAGUGAGGAAGAACGCCUGGUGGUUAAUACCCAUCAGGAAAGACAUCACUCACAGAAGAAGCACCGGCUAACUCCGUGCCAGCAGCCGCGGUAAUACGGAGGGUGCGGGCGUUAAUCGGAAUUACUGGGCGUAAAGCGCGCGUAGGUGGCUUGAUAAGCCGGUUGUGAAAGCCCCGGGCUCAACCUGGGAACGGCAUCCGGAACUGUCAAGCUAGAGUGCAGGAGAGGAAGGUAGAAUUCCCGGUGUAGCGGUGAAAUGCGUAGAGAUCGGGAGGAAUACCAGUGGCGAAGGCGGCCUUCUGGACUGACACUGACACUGAGGUGCGAAAGCGUGGGUAGCAAACAGGAUUAGAUACCCCGGUAGUC